RNAcentral lists this ribosomal RNA (1451 nucleotides) under Claassenia sabulosa. RNAcentral's name for it is "SSU rRNA". It matches the Rfam family "Eukaryotic small subunit ribosomal RNA", at positions 562 to 1816 of the family's 1831-position model. Lineage: Eukaryota; Metazoa; Arthropoda; Insecta; Plecoptera; Perlidae. The record is from RNAcentral.
UUUGGUGCCAGCAGCCGCGGGUAAUUCCAGCUCCAAUAGCGUAUAUUAAAGUUGUUGCGGUUAAAAAGCUCGUAGUUGGACUUGUGUCCCACGCCGUCGGUUCGUCGCCCGUCGACGUAACCGCACGGUUAUGUGAGUGGGACGUCCAGCCGGUGGGUCGUCAGGUCGCGCGCUCAGCUGGCCGCGCCCCUUGACGGUGUCCAUACAGUGGCCUCGCCGUGACGUGCGUCGGGUGGGUGGUUGCGGCGUUCGCGUCGCGCCCCCCCUGGCCCGUCAUCAGCGGCGUGUGUCGCGGGGCCCGUCUCGCAGGGUGUCGCUGCGUCGGCGCGCGCGGUGCCGGACCCAUGUUACUCGUCUCGGUGCUCUUAAUCGAGUGUCUUGACGGGCCGGCUCGUUUACUUUGAACAAAUUAGAGUGCUUAAAGCAGGCCAAUUGCCGCCUGAAUAUUGUGUGCAUGGAAUAAUGGAAUAGGAUCUCGGUUCUAUUUUGUUGGUUUUCUGAACCAGAGAUAAUGAUUAAUAGAGACUGACGGGGGCAUUCGUAUUGCGACGUUAGAGGUGAAAUUCUUGGAUCGUCGCAAGACGAACAGAAGCGAAAGCACUUGCCAAGAAUGCUUUCAUUAAUCAAGAACGAAAGUUAGAGGUUCGAAGGCGAUCAGAUACCGCCCUAGUUCUAACCAUAAACGAUGCCAACUAGCGAUCCGCCGGAGUUCCUCCGAUGACCCGGCGGGCAGCUUCCGGGAAACCAAAGUGUUUGGGUUCCGGGGGAAGUAUGGUUGCAAAGCUGAAACUUAAAGGAAUUGACGGAAGGGCACCACCAGGAGUGGAGCCUGCGGCUUAAUUUGACUCAACACGGGAAAACUCACCAGGCCCGGACACUGGAAGGAUUGACAGAUUGAUAGCUCUUUCUUGAUUCAGUGGGUGGUGGUGCAUGGCCGUUCUUAGUUGGUGGAGCGAUUUGUCUGGUUAAUUCCGAUAACGAACGAGACUCUGGCCUGCUAACUAGUCGCACAUUGACGACAUCCGCAUUCGUGCUGUCGGCGACAAAUAUAAACUCUUCUUAGAGGGACAGGCGGCUUCUAGCCGCACGAGAUUGAGCAAUAACAGGUCUGUGAUGCCCUUAGAUGUUYUGGGCCGCACGCGCGCUACACUGAAUGGUUCAACGUGUGUCUUCCCUUGACCGAGAGGUCCGGGUAACCCGCUGAAAUCCAUUCGUGCUAGGGAUCGGGGCUUGCAAUUAUUCCCCGUGAACGAGGAAUUCCCAGUAAGCGCGAGUCAUAAGCUCGCGUUGAUUACGUCCCUGCCCUUUGUACACACCGCCCGUCGCUACUACCGAUUGAAUGAUUUAGUGAGGUCUUCGGACAGUCGCGCGGCGGCGCCCGCGAGGGCCCGUCGAUGUUCGACUGAAAGAUGAUCAAACUUGAUUAUUUAGAGGAAGUAAAAGUCGUAACA